AGAGUUUGAUCCUGGCUCAGAUUGAACGCUGGCGGAAUGCUUUACACAUGCAAGUCGAGCGGCAGCGCGGGGCAACCUGGCGGCGAGCGGCGAACGGGUGAGUAAUGCAUCGGAACAUGUCCAUGUCGUGGGGGAUAGCCCGGCGAAAGCCGGAUUAAUACCGCAUACGCCCGAGAGGGGAAAGCGGGGGACCGCAAGGCCUCGCGCGAUUGGAUUGGCCGAUGUCCGAUUAGCUAGUUGGUGGGGUAAAGGCCCACCAAGGCGAUGAUCGGUAGCUGGUCUGAGAGGAUGAUCAGCCACACUGGGACUGAGACACGGCCCAGACUCCUACGGGAGGCAGCAGUGGGGAAUUUUGGACAAUGGGGGAAACCCUGAUCCAGCCAUUCCGCGUGAGUGAAGAAGGCCUUCGGGUUGUAAAGCUCUUUUGUCCGGAACGAAACGGGUAGCGUGAAUAUCGCUGCCUACUGACGGUACCGGAAGAAUAAGCACCGGCUAACUACGUGCCAGCAGCCGCGGUAAUACGUAGGGUGCGAGCGUUAAUCGGAAUUACUGGGCGUAAAGCGUGCGCAGGCGGUUUUGUAAGCCAGAUGUGAAAUCCCCGGGCUUAACCUGGGAAUGGCAUUUGGAACUGCAAGGCUGGAGUGCGGCAGAGGAGACUGGAAUUCCUGGUGUAGCAGUGAAAUGCGUAGAUAUCAGGAGGAAUACCGAUGGCGAAGGCAGGUCUCUGGGCUGACACUGACGCUCAUGCACGAAAGCGUGGGGAGCAAACAGGAUUAGAUACCCUGGUAGUCCACGCCCUAAACGAUGUCGACUGGUUGUUGGGGGUUUGACACUCUCAGUAACGAAGCUAACGCGUGAAGUCGACCGCCUGGGGAGUACGGCCGCAAGGUUAAAACUCAAAGGAAUUGACGG
Molecule: ribosomal RNA, 912 nt
Filed under: uncultured bacterium
Lineage: Bacteria
Description: bacterial SSU rRNA
Rfam family: Bacterial small subunit ribosomal RNA
Source: RNAcentral